UAGGGAAUAUUGCUCAAUGGGCGAAAGCCUGAAGCAGCAACGCCGCGUGGAGGAUGACACUUUUCGGAGCGUAAACUCCUUUUGUUGGGGAAGAAAUUUGACGGUACCCAACGAAUAAGCACUGGCUAACUCCGUGCCAGCAGCCGCGGUAAUACGGAGGGUGCAAGCGUUAAUCGGAAUAACUGGGCGUAAAGGGCAUGCAGGCGGUUAUACAAGUAGGAUGUGAAAGCCUGGGGCUCAACCUCAGAACUGCAUUCUAAACUGUGUGACUAGAGUAUUGCAGGGGGAGACGGAAUUUCAGGUGUAGCGGUGGAAUGCGUAGAUAUCUGAAAGAACACCAAAGGCGAAGGCAGUCUCCUGGGCAAAUACUGACGCUCAUAUGCGAAAGCGUGGGUAGCAAACAGGAUUAGAUACCCUGGUAGU
Molecule: ribosomal RNA, 423 nt
Filed under: uncultured Succinivibrio sp.
Lineage: Bacteria; Pseudomonadati; Pseudomonadota; Gammaproteobacteria; Aeromonadales; Succinivibrionaceae
Description: bacterial SSU rRNA
Rfam family: Bacterial small subunit ribosomal RNA
Source: RNAcentral